This 331-nucleotide ribosomal RNA is filed under the name Pseudo-nitzschia multiseries. RNAcentral describes it as "LSU rRNA". It matches the Rfam family "Eukaryotic large subunit ribosomal RNA", at positions 207 to 544 of the family's 3401-position model. Lineage: Eukaryota; Bacillariophyta; Bacillariophyceae; Bacillariales; Bacillariaceae. The record is from RNAcentral.
AGAGGGUGACACUCCCGUCCGCCUGGCAGAGUGAGUCAUUUGUCAACGAGUCGAGUUGUUUGGGUAUUGCAGCUCUAAUUUGGUGGUAAAUUCCAUCUAAAGCUAAAUAUUGGUGGGAGACCGAUAGCGGUACAAGUACCGUGAGGGAAAGAUGCAAAGAACUUUGAAAAGAGAGUUAAAGAGUACCUGAAACUGCUGAAACGGAAGACGAAGGAAACCAGUGUUUGUGUGUUCAUACUUUCCCUAGCCACUUGUGGCUUGGGGCGCUGUGGGCUUACGUGAGUUUGGGUUGGUUGAUUCCUUUGGAAGAGCGCAGUCAGAGUUGAUGUCU